Molecule: long non-coding RNA, 535 nt
Organism: Limulus polyphemus (Atlantic horseshoe crab)
Lineage: Eukaryota; Metazoa; Arthropoda; Merostomata; Xiphosura; Limulidae
Exons: 3
Source: RefSeq, a predicted model, not a curated record
CACUGUUGAAGUAGUGAGAAGAAAAUAAACUGGACAUGGCUGACUGGUCUAUUAGUGGCGUGGGUGGAGGACACACUCUGAAAAUCGUGGAGAAAACGUGGCCUGCGAAAGAAGUUUUUCAAGUCUGAAAUUCAUCAAGAAUUGGUCAAGGAGUACUUUAAAUUCUGACCAUUUGGAGGCAUUUAUUCAGAUGUCAGUGGAAAAAGACAUUCUCCAGGGUAUAGACCACGAUGCUAUUAUUGAUGGUGUGUUGACAGAAAGUUUGUUACUAGCGAAUUAAAUGCAUUAUCAAUAAUUUUAUUCCCCUAUGCCAAUAAAUUGUGAUUUGUAUUAUUUCCUUAUUGCAUGAUUCUAGUUUGUUUGUUUGUUUUUUCCCCUGUUGCUGAAUAUAUGUUUAAACAGUUUUAAUUUGAAACUUGUUAACCUAUCAACACUACUUUCAAUGGGAACAAUGUAUUUUUGGUUGUUACUUGUAUAUGUAUGCAAGUAAAUUUAAUAAAGUCAUAAUUAUAAGUUUUCUAUUUUGUUUUGUGUA